This 616-nucleotide long non-coding RNA is filed under the name Glycine max (soybean). RNAcentral describes it as "long non-coding RNA (GMAX_LNC002517)". The record is from RNAcentral. Lineage: Eukaryota; Viridiplantae; Streptophyta; Magnoliopsida; Fabales; Fabaceae.
ACAUGUUUACAAUAUUAUAAUACACCCUCGACAUUGUAGCACUACCUCUCUUCUUCUACUUAGCAACCCUUGUCAGCCCCCACUUUUCUUCAUCUUGAAAGAUGAUUUUUGGUGACGACUUUUCUUUUUCUUUUUCUUUCCUCCUUUCAUCCCCAAACCAAAAAUCGUUUCCACGCAAUCAUCGCUCCUCACACCAUGUCGUAGGAGUUUGAACUAAACAAUUUCCCUCCGCAAACAAACCUUUCUGGUUGGAUACCAUCAUUUAGAAAUAUGCAACACACCCUACCAACACAGUCCUCAAAAUAGGCCCCGACAUUCGAAAUUUCCCCCUUAAUCUUCUCAAAGCCAUCCACACAGUUGUAGCCAUUGAGAUCGACCAUCGUUCGAAAAUCCGCAAUACACCACACUGACACAAUCCUUGAAAAACAGACCUAACGAUGGAAAUGCCUAUGCUCUAAGGAAACUCGUUGUUGAAGUAGAUGACAUCUUCCAACUAAAACUCGCGCGCAAGCAUGUGCAUGCUCGUAGAAGGAGGCAAAAUUACUGUUGUUGAAGCUAAGAUUCAACACCCUUGAAACUUGGUGUCGGGCAAAAACCACAACUUGCACUUCAACGU